UGGUACCACCACCUGAUAUGGAGGAAGAAGUUGGUGGGAAGCUUACACAUGCACGCAUCUCUUCUCCUCCCACUGUCAACGGGGGAGGAGCAGUGACUACGACGGGGAAAUCCUUCGCUCAAAGCAGACAAGGAAAGCCAGGUGGCGGUGCCGCGGAGAUGAAGUGGUGGUGCACCAGCAAGAGGACAGGUGGACAGGCCCAGACGCGGCAAGUUCCGCGUCCGGCGAGACAUGUGUCUGGGGACAUGUCCCAAUCUAUACUAACCAACAAGAAAAGCCCAAAUCAUUGUGAAGUUAGGUCCCACUGUUUUCGUCCUCUUAUGACCAAGCAUCGAAGGGGAGAGAUGAGAAGAGAAGAGAAGAGAAGAGGAGCCAAAAUAUGAAACGAGAAAAGAGAAGAAGGUGAAUGAGACAGCUACACGAAGACGAUGGGACAGAAGCAAAGACGGGGGCUUCGUCUACAAGCGCCGCCGCAGGCGGAGCAGGAUCGGCCGGCAGCCAGCGGACCCAGAGGCGGAACUGAGGCGCUGCCUCCAUGACCUGAGAGAUCGGUACCGGCGAGAGCUGGCGCAGUGGGACCGCCUCUCGCCCGACUUGCUCUACCCCAUCGCCGCCGCCGCCGCCGGGGGUGGAUACCCAGCGGGCAGUCGUCGACGACGUGGAAAGAAACCAGGGUUCGGUAGGGCUUUAACAAAAACAGGGUUUACGUGUUGCAGGUGGAAGCGCAAGAGGCGGUCAUCGGAAAGCUAGCGAAGGCGCGCGCGUACGUGGGAGUCGUUGUGCAGGGAGAAAGAAGGGAGCUAGGUCUCUUGCGGCUUCGUUAUCAGAUGGACUGAUACGAGAACAGGAUCAAAAUUUACAUGGCCACAAAGGAGUUGUAUCUCCAUUUUAAGAUUAUAUAAUCCAAAGCAGAUUGGUGGCUUCAUCACCAUCUCUUCGAUAUGUAUGCCUUCUCAGCGUCGGCCAUCCGAUCUUGGAACAUUUUCCACUCUUUUCUACACCGAUCCUGUACCUGCCGGAUGUGACGGUGACACAGGUUUCUUAGCAUC
Musa acuminata AAA Group (dessert banana) is the source of this 1049-nucleotide long non-coding RNA. RefSeq lists it as uncharacterized. NCBI's taxonomy places the organism in Eukaryota, Viridiplantae, Streptophyta, Magnoliopsida, Zingiberales, Musaceae. The record is from RefSeq and is a predicted model, not a curated record. The transcript has 3 exons.